CCGCACCUACGCGAGUCCCGAGGAGCGGCUCCGUCGGUUCGAGGUGUACCGCCGGAACGUGGACUACAUCGAGGCCAUGAACCGGCGGGGCGACCUCACCUACGAGCUCGGCGAGAACCAGUUCGCCGACCUCACCGUGCAGGAGUUUCGGGCUAUGUACACCAUGCCGGCGCGCGUCGACUCUCGUCCGGACGCAUGGCGCCGCCGCCAGAUGAUCACCACGCUCGCCGGGCCG
This 235-nucleotide long non-coding RNA is filed under the name Brachypodium distachyon (stiff brome). Its description in RNAcentral is "long non-coding RNA (BDIS_LNC000318)". The record is from RNAcentral. Lineage: Eukaryota; Viridiplantae; Streptophyta; Magnoliopsida; Poales; Poaceae.